GCCGUGAUCGUAUAGUGGUUAGUACUCUGCGUUCUGGCAGCAGCAACCCCCUGUUCGUAUCUGGGUAACGGCA
RNAcentral lists this transfer RNA (73 nucleotides) under Pangasianodon hypophthalmus (striped catfish). Its description in RNAcentral is "tRNA-Gln". The record is from RNAcentral. Lineage: Eukaryota; Metazoa; Chordata; Actinopteri; Siluriformes; Pangasiidae.